RNAcentral lists this ribosomal RNA (463 nucleotides) under uncultured bacterium. RNAcentral describes it as "partial 16S ribosomal RNA". It matches the Rfam family "Bacterial small subunit ribosomal RNA", at positions 28 to 507 of the family's 1533-position model. The record is from RNAcentral.
GACGAACGCUGGCGGCGUGCUUAACACAUGCAAGUCGAACGGAAAGGCCUCUUCGGGGGUACUCGAGUGGCGAACGGGAGAGUAACACGCGGGUGAUCUGCCCUGCACUCUGGGAGAAGCCUGGGAAACUGGGUCGAAUACCGGAUAGGACCGCACGCUAGAGCGAGCGGGGGAAGGAGUUUUCGGUGUCGGAUGAGCCCGCGGCCGACCAGCUUGUUGGUGGGGUAAUGGCCUACCAAGGCGGCGACGGGUAGCCGGACUGAGAGGUUGGGCGGCCACAUUGGGACUGGGAUACGGCCCAGACUCCUACGGGAGGCAGCAGUGGGGAAUAUUGCACUAUGGGCGCGAGCCUGAUGCAGCGCCGCCGCGUGGGCGAUGACGGCCUUCGGGUUGUAAACGCCUUUCGCCAGGGACGAAGCGUUUUGUGACGGUACCUGGAGAAGAAGCCCCGGCUAACUACGUG